Molecule: ribosomal RNA, 498 nt
Filed under: uncultured Glomeromycotina
Lineage: Eukaryota; Fungi; Glomeromycota
Description: partial small subunit ribosomal RNA
Rfam family: Eukaryotic small subunit ribosomal RNA
Source: RNAcentral
CCAAUAGCGUAUAUUAAAGUUGUUGCAGUUAAAAAGCUCGUAGUUGAAUUUCGGGAUCAGCAAGUUGGUCGUGCCACUGGUAUGUACUGGCUUUGCUGAUUCCUCCUUCUUGUAGAACCGUAAUGCCAUUAAUUUGGUGUUGCGGGGAAACAGGACUGUUACUUUGAAAAAAUGAGAGUGUUUAAAGCAGGCUAACGCUUGAAUACAUUAGCAUGGAAUAAUGACAUAGGACGAGCGAUCCUAUUUUGUUGGUUUCUAGGAUUGACGUAAUGAUUAAUAGGGAUAGUUGGGGGCAUUAGUAUUCAAUUGUCAGAGGUGAAAUUCUUGGAUUUAUUGAAGACUAACUACUGCGAAAGCAUUUGCCAAGGAUGUUUUCAUUAAUCAAGAACGAAAGUUAGGGGAUCGAAGACGAUCAGAUACCGUCGUAGUCUUAACCAUAAACUAUGCCGACUAGGGAUCGGAUGAUGUUAUUUAUAAUGACUCAUUCGGCGCCUUACG